CGUAGGUGCAAGCGUUAAUCGGAAUUACUGGGCGUAAAGCGUGCGCAGGCGGUUUGUAAGUCUGACGUGAAAGCCCCGGGCUCAACCUGGGAAUUGCGUUGGAGACUGCAAGGCUUGAAUCUGGCAGAGGGGGUAGGAAUUCCACGUGUAGCAGUGAAAUGCGUAGAGAUGUGGAGGAACACCGAUGGCGAAGGCAGCCCCCUCGGGUCAAGAUUGACGCUCAUGCACGAAAGCGUGGGAGCAAACAGGAUU
Molecule: ribosomal RNA, 252 nt
Filed under: uncultured bacterium
Lineage: Bacteria
Description: partial 16S ribosomal RNA
Rfam family: Bacterial small subunit ribosomal RNA
Source: RNAcentral